GACGAGCCACACAAACGUUAUUCGGAAUUACUGGGCUUAAAGGGUGCGUAGGCGGUGCGGAAAGUUGGGUGUGAAAUCCCUCGGCUCAACCGAGGAAUUGCGCUCAAAACUACCGUGCUCGAGGGAGAUAGAGGAAUGCGGAACUUAGGGUGGAGCGGUGAAAUGCGUUGAUAUCCUAGGGAACACCGGUGGCGAAAGCGGCAUUCUGGAUCUCAUCUGACGCUGAUGCACGAAAGCUAGGGUAGCAAACGGG
Molecule: ribosomal RNA, 253 nt
Filed under: uncultured bacterium
Lineage: Bacteria
Description: partial 16S ribosomal RNA
Rfam family: Bacterial small subunit ribosomal RNA
Source: RNAcentral